AGCCCAUGGUGAGGGCACCUUCUCUACAGAUCCUUGUAUCUCUCUCAUGCAUCAUAGAGUGUUUCUAGAUCCAUCUAGACAAAAGAAGAGAUAGCAUUCCUUAAUUU
Non-coding RNA from Gossypium hirsutum (cotton), 107 nucleotides. Lineage: Eukaryota; Viridiplantae; Streptophyta; Magnoliopsida; Malvales; Malvaceae. The record is from Rfam.